RNAcentral lists this ribosomal RNA (490 nucleotides) under uncultured bacterium. Its description in RNAcentral is "partial 16S ribosomal RNA". It matches the Rfam family "Bacterial small subunit ribosomal RNA", at positions 30 to 507 of the family's 1533-position model. The record is from RNAcentral.
AUUGAACGCUGGCGGCAGGCCCAACACAUGCAAGUCGAACGGUAACAGGAAGAAGCUUGCUUCUUUGCUGACGAGUGGCGGACGGGUGAGUAAUGUCUGGGAAACUGCCUGAUGGAGGGGGAUAACUACUGGAAACGGUAGCUAAUACCGCAUAAUGUCGCAAGACCAAAGAGGGGGACCUUCGGGCCUCUUGCCAUCGGAUGUGCCCAGAUGGGAUUAGCUAGUAGGUGGGGUAACGGCUCACCUAGGCGACGAUCCCUAGCUGGUCUGAGAGGAUGACCAGCCACACUGGAACUGAGACACGGUCCAGACUCCUACGGGAGGCAGCAGUGGGGAAUAUUGCACAAUGGGCGCAAGCCUGAUGCAGCUAUGCCGCGUGUAUGAAGAAGGCCUUCGGGUUGUAAAGUACUUUCAGCGGGGAGGAAGGGAGUAAAGUUAAUACCUUUGCUCAUUGACGUUACCCGCAGAAGAAGCACCGGCUAACUCCGUG